UACGUAGGUCCCGAGCGUUGUCCGGAUUUAUUGGGCGUAAAGCGAGCGCAGGUGGUUUAUUAAGUCUGGUGUAAAAGGCAGUGGCUCAACCAUUGUAUGCAUUGGAAACUGGUAGACUUGAGUGCUGGAGAGGCAAUCGGAAUUCCGUGUGUAGCGGUGAAAUGCGUAGAUAUACGGAGGAACACCAGUGGCGAAGGCGGAUUGCUGGACAGUAACUGACGCUGAGGCGCGAAAGCGUGGGGAGCAAACAGG
RNAcentral lists this ribosomal RNA (252 nucleotides) under uncultured bacterium. RNAcentral's name for it is "partial 16S ribosomal RNA". It matches the Rfam family "Bacterial small subunit ribosomal RNA", at positions 524 to 776 of the family's 1533-position model. The record is from RNAcentral.